RNAcentral lists this non-coding RNA (83 nucleotides) under Chloroflexota bacterium. RNAcentral's name for it is "Chloroflexi bacterium c-di-GMP sequence". It matches the Rfam family "c-di-GMP-I-GGC riboswitch aptamer". Lineage: Bacteria; Bacillati; Chloroflexota. The record is from RNAcentral.
GGUCGAAACGGCAAACCCGUCGCGAGGCGGGGACGCAAAGCCACGGGACUGGCGGGUCUCGCCAGUCAGCCGGGUUGCCGAAA